This 484-nucleotide ribosomal RNA is filed under the name uncultured bacterium. RNAcentral describes it as "partial 16S ribosomal RNA". It matches the Rfam family "Bacterial small subunit ribosomal RNA", at positions 30 to 507 of the family's 1533-position model. The record is from RNAcentral.
AUUGAACGCUGGCGGCAGGCCUAACACAUGCAAGUCGAGCGGAUGAAGGGAGCUUGCUCCUGGAUUCAGCGGCGGACGGGUGAGUAAUGCCUAGGAAUCUGCCUGGUAGUGGGGGAUCACGUCCGGCUACGGGCGCUAAUACCGCAUACGUCCUGAGGGAGAAAGUGGGGGAUCUUCGGACCUCACGCUAUCAGAUGAGACUGGGUCGGAUUAGCUAGUUGGUGGGGUAAAGGCCUACCAAGGCGACGAUGCAUAACUGGUCUGAGAGGGUGAUCGGUCACAGUGGGACUGAGACACGGGCCAGAGUACUACGGGAGGCAGCAGGAGGGAAGUUUACGAAAAGGUAGAAAGCUUGACGGAGCAAUGGCGCGUGAGUGAAGAAGGAUUUCUGUUAGUACAGUUUUGUUGUGAGGGAAGAAGGAUUGUGUAGUAACUAUACACAGUAGAGACGGUAAAUAAACAGAAAGCCACGGCUAACUACGUG